This 253-nucleotide ribosomal RNA is filed under the name uncultured bacterium. Its description in RNAcentral is "partial 16S ribosomal RNA". It matches the Rfam family "Bacterial small subunit ribosomal RNA", at positions 524 to 776 of the family's 1533-position model. The record is from RNAcentral.
UCCAGAGGGGGCAAGCGUUGUUCGGAAUUACUGGGCGUAAAGGGCGCGUAGGCGGCCUGCUAAGUCGAACGUGAAAUCCCCGGGCUCAACCCGGGAACUGCGUCCGAUACUGGUAGGCUUGAAUUCGGGAGAGGGAUGCGGAAUUCCAGGUGUAGCGGUGAAAUGCGUAGAUAUCUGGAGGAACACCGGUGGCGAAGGCGGCAUCCUGGACCGACAUUGACGCUGAGGCGCGAAAGCCAGGGGAGCAAACGGG